RNAcentral lists this ribosomal RNA (505 nucleotides) under uncultured Lactobacillus sp. Its description in RNAcentral is "bacterial SSU rRNA". It matches the Rfam family "Bacterial small subunit ribosomal RNA", at positions 348 to 844 of the family's 1533-position model. The record is from RNAcentral. Lineage: Bacteria; Bacillati; Bacillota; Bacilli; Lactobacillales; Lactobacillaceae.
GCAGCAGUAGGGAAUCUUCCACAAUGGACGCAAGUCUGAUGGAGCAACGCCGCGUGAGUGAAGAAGGGUUUCGGCUCGUAAAGCUCUGUUGGUAGUGAAGAAAGAUAGAGGUAGUAACUGGCCUUUAUUUGACGGUAAUUACUUAGAAAGUCACGGCUAACUACGUGCCAGCAGCCGCGGUAAUACGUAGGUGGCAAGCGUUGUCCGGAUUUAUUGGGCGUAAAGCGAGUGCAGGCGGUUCAAUAAGUCUGAUGUGAAAGCCUUCGGCUCAACCGGAGAAUUGCAUCAGAAACUGUUGAACUUGAGUGCAGAAGAGGAGAGUGGAACUCCAUGUGUAGCGGUGGAAUGCGUAGAUAUAUGGAAGAACACCAGUGGCGAAGGCGGCUCUCUGGUCUGCAACUGACGCUGAGGCUCGAAAGCAUGGGUAGCGAACAGGAUUAGAUACCCUGGUAGUCCAUGCCGUAAACGAUGAGUGCUAAGUGUUGGGAGGUUUCCGCCUCUCAGU